GAAAUGCGAUAAGUAGUGUGAAUUGCAGAAUUCAGUGAAUCAUCGAAUCUUUGAACGCACAUUGCGCCCCUUGGUAUUCCAUGGGGCAUGCCUGUUCGAGCGUCAUUUGUACCUUCAAGCUUUGCUUGGUGUUGGGUGUUUGUCUCGCCUCAAAACAAUUGGCAGCCGGCAUAUUGGUAUCGGAGCGCAGCACAAGUCGCACUUUGUUCCAUGAAUGUUGGCAUCCAUCAAGACCAUUUUUUCACUCUUGACCUCGGAUCAGGUAGGGAUACCCGCUGAACUUAA
Molecule: unclassified non-coding RNA, 285 nt
Filed under: uncultured Pleosporales
Lineage: Eukaryota; Fungi; Ascomycota; Dothideomycetes; Pleosporales
Description: sequence contains ITS1
Rfam family: 5.8S ribosomal RNA (bases 1-105)
Source: RNAcentral